This 373-nucleotide ribosomal RNA is filed under the name uncultured organism. Its description in RNAcentral is "bacterial SSU rRNA". It matches the Rfam family "Bacterial small subunit ribosomal RNA", at positions 526 to 896 of the family's 1533-position model. The record is from RNAcentral.
CGUAGGGACCGAGCGUUGUCCGGAUUCAUUGGGCGUAAAGAGCUCGUAGGCGGCCACUCAAGUCGAAUGUGAAACCUCGAGGCUUAACCUCGAGCCUGCAUUCGAUACUGGGCGGCUAGAGUCUGGUAGGGGGAUCUGGAAUUCCUGGUGUAGCGGUGGAAUGCGCAGAUAUCAGGAGGAACACCGGUGGCGAAGGCGGGAUCCUGGGCCAGUACUGACGCUGAGGAGCGAAAGCGUGGGGAGCAAACAGGAUUAGAUACCCUGGUAGUCCACGCCGUAAACGAUGGGCGCUAGGUGUGGGGGGUCAUCGACUCCUUCCGUGCCGCAGCUAACGCAUUAAGCGCCCCGCCUGGGGAGUACGGCCGCAAGGCUA